ACUCAAAGGAAUAGACGGGGGCCCGCACAAGCGGCGGAGCAUGUGGAUUAAUUCGAUGCAACGCGAAGAACCUUACCUGGGCUUGACAUGCACUAGAAACACCUAGAGAUAGGUGCCCCCUUGUGGUUGGUGUACAGGUGGUGCAUGGCUGUCGUCAGCUCGUGUCGUGAGAUGUUGGGUUAAGUCCCGCAACGAGCGCAACCCUCGUUCCAUGUUGCCAGCGCGUUAUGGCGGGGACUCAUGGGAGACUGCCGGGGUCAACUCGGAGGAAGGUGGGGAUGACGUCAAGUCAUCAUGCCCCUUAUGUCCAGGGCUUCACACAUGCUACAAUGGCCGGUACAGAGGGUUGCGAGACCGUGAGGUGGAGCGAAUCCCUUAAAGCUGGUCUCAGUUCGGAUUGGGGUCUGCAACUCGACCCCAUGAAGUCGGAGUCGCUAGUAAUCGCAGAUCAGCAAUGCUGCGGUGAAUACGUUCCCGGGCCUUGUACACACCGCCCGU
This 498-nucleotide ribosomal RNA is filed under the name uncultured bacterium. Its description in RNAcentral is "partial 16S ribosomal RNA". It matches the Rfam family "Bacterial small subunit ribosomal RNA", at positions 899 to 1397 of the family's 1533-position model. The record is from RNAcentral.